UCGCAUUGGCCCGCAGGAGCCUACUUGAGAGCCUGCAGGCCAGGGGCGCCCCGCAGGCAGGGCUCGUCCUGUGAUGGGUGUGUCUGGAGAUGUCCCCAGCUGCACAGCUGGUGGUGACAGUGACCCAGGAAGCCACCAGGAGGUCCCAGCACAUGGCACCGAGGACAGGAGACUUGCACAGGCCCAGGCGGGCACAGUGGAUGAACUGGGAGCAAGAGAAGUGGUGGCAGCUAAUGCUGGGCUGGGUGUGGACACCUGCUCCCGUCCCGGGGCCCCGGUUCUCACUUCGUCCAGCAGACUGGUCUGCAGGGCCAUGCCCAGCAUUGGCUGCACCUUCAGGAGCUAGGGGGUGCAGAAGUCUGGAGCACAUGACCAGGACGAGCAUUUGACUCCUAGGCCCGCACGCCUGUCUCCCUUUGCACAUUUGCUGAGCACAAACCCUUGCAGACUCCAGCUCCCAGUGUCCUGAUCUGUAUAUCAGGCUCCUCCAAUAAAGCACGGGUGCCAGCCCGGA
Chinchilla lanigera (long-tailed chinchilla) is the source of this 514-nucleotide long non-coding RNA. RefSeq lists it as uncharacterized. NCBI's taxonomy places the organism in Eukaryota, Metazoa, Chordata, Mammalia, Rodentia, Chinchillidae. The record is from RefSeq and is a predicted model, not a curated record. The transcript is spliced from 2 exons.